RNAcentral lists this transfer RNA (97 nucleotides) under Puccinia triticina. Its description in RNAcentral is "tRNA-Arg". It matches the Rfam family "tRNA". From Rfam's summary of the family: Transfer RNA (tRNA) molecules are approximately 80 nucleotides in length. Their secondary structure includes four short double-helical elements and three loops (D, anti-codon, and T loops). Further hydrogen bonds mediate the characteristic L-shaped molecular structure. tRNAs have two regions of fundamental functional importance: the anti-codon, which is responsible for specific mRNA codon recognition, and the 3' end, to which the tRNAs corresponding amino acid is attached (by aminoacyl-tRNA synthetases). tRNAs cope with the degeneracy of the genetic code in two manners: having more than one tRNA (with a specific anti-codon) for a particular amino acid; and 'wobble' base-pairing, i.e. permitting non-standard base-pairing at the 3rd anti-codon position. Lineage: Eukaryota; Fungi; Basidiomycota; Pucciniomycetes; Pucciniales; Pucciniaceae. The record is from RNAcentral. RNAcentral also lists the same sequence under 1 other name.
GGCCCUUUGGCCAAGUGGUAAGGUGUUCUCCUCCGGUUAGCUCGAUGGGCAACCUGGAAUCAGAGAAAGAUCGCAGGUUCAAUCCCUGCAAGGGUCG